This 208-nucleotide ribosomal RNA is filed under the name uncultured bacterium. RNAcentral's name for it is "partial 16S ribosomal RNA". It matches the Rfam family "Bacterial small subunit ribosomal RNA", at positions 568 to 774 of the family's 1533-position model. The record is from RNAcentral.
CGCGCAGGCGGUUUGGUAAGUCGGAUGUGAAAACCCGGGGCUCAACCCCGGGCGUGCAUCUCGAUACUGCCCGACUAGAGGUAGGUAGGGGAGAUCGGAAUUCCUGGUGUAGCGGUAAAAUGCGCAGAUAUUAGGAGGAACACCGGUGGCGAAGGCGGAUCUCUGGGCCUUACCUGACGCUCAGGCGCGAAAGCUAGGGGAGCGAACA